GGACAAACCGGAGGAAGGUGGGGAUGACGUCAAGUCAUCAUGGCCCUUAUGUCCAGGGCUACACACGUGCUACAAUGGGUGAGACAGAGUGACGCGAAGCCGCGAGGUGGAGCAAAUCGCAGAAAAUCAUCCGUAGUUCGGAUUGGAGUCUGAAACCCGACUCCAUGAAGGUGGAAUCGCUAGUAAUCGCGCAUCAGCAUGGCGCGGUGAAUACGUUCCCGGGCCUU
This 227-nucleotide ribosomal RNA is filed under the name uncultured Spirochaetaceae bacterium. Its description in RNAcentral is "partial 16S ribosomal RNA". It matches the Rfam family "Bacterial small subunit ribosomal RNA", at positions 1156 to 1382 of the family's 1533-position model. The record is from RNAcentral. Lineage: Bacteria; Pseudomonadati; Spirochaetota; Spirochaetia; Spirochaetales; Spirochaetaceae.